CCACAUUGUGAACAACAGAUCCUAUUUUCUAAGACUAAUUAGUUGGAUUCCAAGCCCACUAAAACAAGAGUUAACCCUAUAUAUAUAAGGGUUAAAACCUUAGAAUUCUUUCAUUUGAAACAGCCGAUCACCCUUAUCCUUUCCUUCCCUCUCAUUUGUUGUCUACAACUAUUAUCUAAACACACAAGAAAAUCACUGAUCAUUUCAUCCAAAUAGAAUCAUCUCCAUUCCAAUAUACACACACAAACCUCCCAUCUACACUGACAUCUCUCUCUCGUUUACAUUAAUCAAACACAAGUCCCCAUCUUCACAAACAAGUAGUCAAACAACCACAGCCGCAUACCCCCCUCUCUCUCCCCUCUCGGCUCCGAUCUCGGCAGCAGACACGCCGCCGUGAGCGGCGGUGGUGGUUCUGAGCAGUGACGACCAGCGGUACCCCCCCCCCCCUUUUCGGCAGAUCGAGCAACAACCACCACCAUCGGGUGGUGGUGAGCGACGGUUCAAGGAGAGAGAGAAAGAGAGAGAGAGUCAGACGAGAGCGAGAGUUAGACGAGGAGAGAGAGAGAGAGAAAUGGCAUGAUGCCGUUUUCCGGCGACGAUCCGCCGUCAGCGGUGGAGCCGCGACGGCUGUGGUGGUGCUGUAGUGCCGACUAGCUGCUCAGGUCAGCAGAGGUGGUCUCCGGUUCAAAUCUAGUGCAAUGGGUUCAAGUAUGUAGAUUCCAGUGGGUUCUUGGUUCGAGCUCCUCAGUUCAGAUUCAUUGUGGUUCGGGUUUUGUAGCGGGUCGGCUGGUCAACGGGUUCGGGACGGUCAGCGGUUCGGCUCGGGUCAACAUUCAUUUUCGGGUCACGACAUGGCUUCGGGUCAGAAUCGGGCUCGAGACCUCUCGGGUUUUCAGUUUCGUGUCGAACCUGGUUGACUCGUUCAACACCCGAGUCAACUCGGGUCAAAGCAGAUCGGCCGGUCAAAAACAGUAAACUAUUUUGGCUUGGAUUUCGGUUCAGAUUCGCGUAUGGGUCUCGCGGGUCAAGUCUCGGGUUUGGUCAGACUUGGUCAAAGUCAGAAAGGUUUUAGAUCGGGUGCUCGUGUCAGCUUUGUUUGAGUCAACAAGUCAACUCGCUUCAGGUUCAACUCGGUUCAACAGCAGGUCAAACGUGGUCAACACGAAGGACCCGGAAUGCUUUAGUUGCACGCUAGCGAGUUCACAUUCGUGGGAUGACACUACGGAAUCACAUUUAGCUAGCUAUGCACAGGAAUAUACAGGCUAUCAACUGAGACUUUGGAGAAUAUCCACUAGCAAUCUCAAGUAAAAGCAAAGAAUUCAGAGACAGAGAGAGUGAAACCGCUAGAGAGAGACACGACGCUGACGGGAGCGGGUGCCAGGCAUGGCCUCCGGCCGGCCACUUUAUCUUGAGGACUCCGGUGGUCUUGCUUGUGUGCGUCGGAGUGUCGAUCAGAGAGAGAGAGAGAGAGAGAGAUAACGAUGGGAGUGGGUGCUGGCCAGCGACCGGUGAUGCUGCUUGUGGAUCCCGUCAUAGGUAACGGUGGUGCGUUUGGAGAUUUCACAGCGACCGAUGAUGGUGGUGUGGUUUCACGGCGGAGAAGAUGAGUGGACUCGGUUGCUUGCUUGGGCGGGCAGACAUGGUAGAAGAGGGGAUGUUGGUGGGUAGGGGCGGCGACAAUCGUCAGUUUUGGUGUCGUAGGAUUAUCGUGGUGCAGUCAUCCCUAUCAUUCCUCCUGUUUAUUUUCACUUCAGUCUCCGUCGUUUUCACCAGAAAGUGGAUACUUGUUGCCAUAUUGC
This 1799-nucleotide long non-coding RNA is filed under the name Helianthus annuus (common sunflower). RNAcentral's name for it is "hypothetical non coding rna". The record is from RNAcentral. Lineage: Eukaryota; Viridiplantae; Streptophyta; Magnoliopsida; Asterales; Asteraceae.